AACGAACGCUGGCGGCAUGCCUAACACAUGCAAGUCGAACGAUUGCCUUCGGGUGAUAGUGGCGCACGGGUGCGUAACGCGUGGGAAUCUGCCCUUAGGUUCGGAAUAACAGCUGGAAACGGCUGCUAAUACCGGAUGAUAUCGCGAGAUCAAAGAUUUAUCGCCUGAGGAUGAGCCCGCGUUGGAUUAGGUAGUUGGUGGGGUAAAGGCCUACCAAGCCGACGAUCCAUAGCUGGUCUGAGAGGAUGAUCAGCCACACUGGGACUGAGACACGGCCCAGACUCCUACGGGAGGCAGCAGUGGGGAAUAUUGGACAAUGGGCGCAAGCCUGAUCCAGCAAUGCCGCGUGAGUGAUGAAGGCCCUAGGGUUGUAAAGCUCUUUUACCCGGGAAGAUAAUGACUGUACCGGGAGAAUAAGCCCCGGCUAACCCCGU
This 434-nucleotide ribosomal RNA is filed under the name uncultured bacterium. Its description in RNAcentral is "partial 16S ribosomal RNA". It matches the Rfam family "Bacterial small subunit ribosomal RNA", at positions 29 to 506 of the family's 1533-position model. The record is from RNAcentral.